RNAcentral lists this unclassified non-coding RNA (305 nucleotides) under uncultured fungus. RNAcentral describes it as "partial contains small subunit ribosomal RNA, internal transcribed spacer 1, and 5.8S ribosomal RNA". The stretch from base 1 to 73 matches the Rfam family "Eukaryotic small subunit ribosomal RNA", at positions 1759 to 1831 of the family's 1831-position model. Lineage: Eukaryota; Fungi. The record is from RNAcentral.
GCAAACUUGGUCAUUUAGAGGAAGUAAAAGUCGUAACAAGGUUUCCGUAGGUGAACCUGCGGAAGGAUCAUUACCGAGUGAGGGCCCCUUGCGGGCCCAACCUCCCACCCUUGUCUCUGUGAUACCCUGUUGCUUCGGCGGGCCCACUGGGGAAACCCGGUCACUGGGGGGCACUGUGCCCCCGGGUCCGUGCCCGCCGGAGCGCCCCUGGAAGUCUGAUGAAGAUGGGCGGUCUGAGUGAGAUGUGAAAUGUCAAAACUUUCAACAAUGGAUCUCUUGGUUCUGGCAUCGAUGAAGAACGCAGC